This 410-nucleotide ribosomal RNA is filed under the name uncultured Cytophagaceae bacterium. RNAcentral describes it as "bacterial SSU rRNA". It matches the Rfam family "Bacterial small subunit ribosomal RNA", at positions 1 to 419 of the family's 1533-position model. Lineage: Bacteria; Pseudomonadati; Bacteroidota; Cytophagia; Cytophagales; Cytophagaceae. The record is from RNAcentral.
UAGUGAGUUUGAUCCUGGCUCAGGAUGAACGCUAGCGGCAGGCCUAAUACAUGCAAGUCGAACGCGGGGUAGCAAUACCUCGAGUGGCGCACGGGUGCGUAACGCGUAACCAACCUACCUACAACUGGGGGAUAGCCCGCCGAAAGGCGGAUUAAUACCGCAUAAACUCACAGUAUGGCAUCAUACAAUGAGUAAAGAUUUAUUGGUCAAGGAGGGGCUUGCGGCCUAUCAGCUAGUUGGUGGGGUAAUGGCCUACCAAGGCGACGAUCCAUAGCUGGUCUGAGAGGAUGAUCAGCCACACUGGGGACUGAGACACGGCCCAGACUCUACGGGAGCAGCAGUGGGGUAAUAUUGGACAAUGGGGCGCAAGCCUGAUCCCAGCCAUGCCGCGUGAGUGAUCGAAGGUCCCU